GUAAGAUUCCCAUUCCCCACUGAAAUCUCUGGUUAAGACUUGAAGCUACUUUUCCUGCAUCACUAUUUCUAGCCUUACAGGAUUUUUUUUUCGACUGUAAUAGAAUGCGGAUAUCAACUUUUCAAUCUUUUUAGUCUUUCUGCUAGUUGAUCCAGCUUUUGCUGACACUCUUCUUCCAUUAUUAUUAUAGUCUAAUUAUGAAGUUAGUUUCUUACUCCAGGCAUUAAUAUGAUGAACAAUAUGUCAGUAUUAUCAGUGUACUUUAUGUGAUUCCUUUUAUUUAGUUACCAAAGAUAUCCCUGUAGUGAUGAAUAUUUCUCCCUUUCUUUAGAGGGAAUAUUCAUGGUUGCUCACUUCCAAGUUCGAUCUUUUAGAUUGAGUGAUUUUAUGGCACUAGAAACUUUUUGAUUGAAAAAAGUCUUGGAGUUUGAAUCCUAUGCAUCCCAACAAAGGUGGACACGGAGUAAGGUAAUUAAAUUUACUAAUUCUGAUAUUAAACUUUUUCUUUUCCUGGAUAAUAGCUGUGAGAAACUGUCACUGAAGGUGCUGCCAAAUGAACAGAUAUAUGCGGGCACAGGGAUCAAUAAUGCAGUUUAUUUUACCACAAUCUGCCUAUAUAGGUUAAUAUUUUUAAACGGCAAACAUCUGUACAGAUAUUUUUGUUAAAUAAUUCAUCAUUUGCCCCUAUGGACAUAUUCAAUCUUUCUUGGAUUUUGCUUCUUUUGGCAAAUGACAAUACAAAUCCAGUAAUUGAGGUGCUCUUAGAAGUAGAGUAAUGCCAUUAUAAGGUGUACUGUUAUAUGAGAUAUUAUGAACUUAAGUUGUCUGUGCCACCAUCAAAAUAUUUU
This 848-nucleotide unclassified non-coding RNA is filed under the name Hevea brasiliensis (rubber tree). The record is from RNAcentral. Lineage: Eukaryota; Viridiplantae; Streptophyta; Magnoliopsida; Malpighiales; Euphorbiaceae.